Molecule: ribosomal RNA, 253 nt
Filed under: uncultured bacterium
Lineage: Bacteria
Description: partial 16S ribosomal RNA
Rfam family: Bacterial small subunit ribosomal RNA
Source: RNAcentral
UACGUAGGGGGCAAGCGUUGUCCGGAUUCAUUGGGCGUAAAGAGCGUGUAGGCGGCCAGGUAGGUCGGUUGUGAAAACUGGAGGCUCAACCUUCAGAGGUCGACCGAAACCAUCUGGCUAGAGUCCGGGAGAGGAGAGUGGAAUUCCUGGUGUAGCGGUGAAAUGCGCAGAUAUCAGGAGGAACACCGGUGGCGAAGGCAGGUCUCUGGGCCACUACUGACGCUGAGAAGCGAAAGCAUGGGGAGCGAACAGG